Molecule: ribosomal RNA, 753 nt
Filed under: uncultured Actinomyces sp.
Lineage: Bacteria; Bacillati; Actinomycetota; Actinomycetes; Actinomycetales; Actinomycetaceae
Description: bacterial SSU rRNA
Rfam family: Bacterial small subunit ribosomal RNA
Source: RNAcentral
GACGAACGCUGGCGGCGUGCUUAACACAUGCAAGUCGAACGCUGAAGGCCCAGCUUGCUGGGUUGGAUGAGUGGCGAACGGGUGAGUAACACGUGAGUAACCUGCCCCCUUCUUUGGGAUAACGGUCGGAAACGGCUGCUAAUACCGGGUAUUCACUGUCCUUCGCAUGGGGGUUGGUGGAAAGGUUUUUUCUGGUGGGGGAUGGGCUCGCGGCCUAUCAGCUUGUUGGUGGGGUGAUGGCUUACCAAGGCUUUGACGGGUAACCGGCCUGAGAGGGUGACCGGUCACAUUGGGACUGAGAUACGGCCCAGACUCCUACGGGAGGCAGCAGUGGGGAAUAUUGCACAAUGGGCGAAAGCCUGAUGCAGCGACGCCGCGUGAGGGAUGACGGCCUUCGGGUUGUAAACCUCUUUCGCUCAUGGUCAAGCCGCAACAGUGGUUGUGGUGAGGGUAGUGGGUAAAGAAGCACCGGCUAACUACGUGCCAGCAGCCGCGGUAAUACGUAGGGUGCGAGCGUUGUCCGGAAUUAUUGGGCGUAAAGGGCUUGUAGGCGGUUUGUCGCGUCUGCCGUGAAAUCCUCUGGCUUAACUGGGGGCGUGCGGUGGGUACGGGCAGGCUUGAGUGCGGUAGGGGAGACUGGAACUCCUGGUGUAGCGGUGGAAUGCGCAGAUAUCACGAAGAACACCGGUGGCGAAGGCGGGUCUCUGGGCCGUUACUGACGCUGAGGAGCGAAAGCGUGGGGGAGCGAACAGG